Molecule: unclassified non-coding RNA, 219 nt
Filed under: rhizosphere metagenome
Description: partial ribosomal RNA internal transcribed spacer region
Source: RNAcentral
GUAGGUGAACCUGUGAAAGGAUCAUUCAUAACAAGUAUUUUAUGGCGCUUUUUUAAAACCAUAUCCACCUUUUGUGCAAUGUCAGGUUGGUCUCUUUUUUUUUAAAAAAAAAAGAGGUCGGCCCAAGCAUCAACCGUAUCUUUUAACUCCUUUGUCUGAAAAAUAUUAUGAAAUAAACAAUUCAAAAUACAACUUUCAACAACGGAUCUCUUGGCUCUC